RNAcentral lists this ribosomal RNA (305 nucleotides) under uncultured bacterium. RNAcentral's name for it is "bacterial SSU rRNA". It matches the Rfam family "Bacterial small subunit ribosomal RNA", at positions 334 to 636 of the family's 1533-position model. The record is from RNAcentral.
UUGUCCUACGGGGCGCAGCAGUGAGGAAUAUUGGUCAAUGGGCGAGAGCCUGAACCAGCCAAGUCGCGUGAAGGAUGACGGCCCUAUGGGUUGUAAACUUCUUUUGUCAGGGAGCAAUUGAGUCCACGUGUGGGCUUAGCGAGAGUACCUGAAGAAAAAGCAUCGGCUAACUCCGUGCCAGCAGCCGCGGUAAUACGGAGGAUGCGAGCGUUAUCCGGAAUUAUUGGGUUCAAAGGGUGCGUAGGCGGAAUAUAAAGUCAGAGGUAAAAAUUCGGGGGUAAACCCAGGCGUGCCGUUGAAACUGA